This 188-nucleotide RNase P RNA is filed under the name Candidatus Methanomethylophilaceae archaeon. Its description in RNAcentral is "partial RNase P RNA component". It matches the Rfam family "Archaeal RNase P", at positions 101 to 288 of the family's 288-position model. Rfam says of the family: Ribonuclease P (RNase P) is a ubiquitous endoribonuclease, found in archaea, bacteria and eukarya as well as chloroplasts and mitochondria. Its best characterised activity is the generation of mature 5'-ends of tRNAs by cleaving the 5'-leader elements of precursor-tRNAs. The record is from RNAcentral. Lineage: Archaea; Methanobacteriati; Thermoplasmatota; Thermoplasmata; Methanomassiliicoccales; Methanomethylophilaceae.
GCCCAGAAACGACACAGCUUCGGUAAACAGGAUGAUCUGUUCGGCAGUGACAUUCCCGAAGAUUUGGUGAAACGGCGACACCCCACCGGAGCAAGCCCAAACGGCCGGGAUGAUUUGCUCAGGACCGGCGGGUAGGGUGCGAUAGUUGAAUGCCGCUUAAAACAGAAGGGGGGCUACUCCCAUCACCU